CCUGUGAUUUCCAAUAUUUGAACCUGCAAUCCCUACGUAAGUGGAUCUCGGAUAAUGUCUGCUAAAAAGAAAAACGUUUCGCGAUCCCUGACCCGCACCCGAGCCAGAGCGAACCCCACCCCGAAUCAUCCCGAGCCUUUCCCUCGUCGUCGUCGCCGCCACACCUCAUCCCGCUCGCCGUUGACGCCACCCCUCACCCCGCUCUCUACCGCCACCGCACCUCACCCUGCUC
Molecule: long non-coding RNA, 232 nt
Filed under: Hordeum vulgare
Lineage: Eukaryota; Viridiplantae; Streptophyta; Magnoliopsida; Poales; Poaceae
Description: long non-coding RNA (HVUL_LNC004794)
Source: RNAcentral